This is a non-coding RNA of Lepisosteus oculatus (spotted gar), 1971 nucleotides long. NCBI's taxonomy places the organism in Eukaryota, Metazoa, Chordata, Actinopteri, Semionotiformes, Lepisosteidae. The record is from RefSeq and is a predicted model, not a curated record.
CGGGCAGUCGUCACAGGCGCGGCUUGAUGCAGGCGACCCUGACAAGUUCCGUCGCUCCCCAGCCCAGCGGAUGCGUCUGUGACCUUCAGCUGGAGGCUAAUUGAAUGGGACCCAAGAGACAUGUAUCUCCUCCCGGGAACAUGUCAAAAUCCUAUGCCCAGAGAAGGUCAGAUAGAGUUCGCGGAAAUGCUCAGUGGACACCCCAGAAUUGGAUUGAAGUCAACCAAACUGAUACUUCUAAUGGAACAACAGAAAAGCCACUGGAGAGAAGAGGCUAUUCAGCUUCAUGAGGCCCAUCAGAUACUCUACCACUGGCAGAGGGAAGAAGGACAAAAUCCCUUUUAAACUCCUCAGGGCAGGGAGCUAAUUAACCUUCACCUGUAUGUCCUCUGGAGGAGUGAAAAAAACAGCAGCUCGCAAAACCCCCCCGGCACCCUGAACAUGCACACUCCACACAAACAGCUGCUCCACCUCAGAAGUGAACCCAGGACUAAGGAGCUGUGAUAGUCAUAGUCAACAUCAGGCCAUCAGGUUACCUCAGGGCUUGCCUCAAAUUUCUGCUUUCGUUUCGCAUGAAAAUAGAAGGGUACACGAAUUGUAAGGUUUGGUGUUAUCUUAGGUAGUAAGAGUUUUGUGAUCGCUACAAAUUUAGCUCCAUACCUUGGUACAUAUAUGUGUAUAUAGCAAUUAGUACACAACGUAUGUAUAAGGGUAUAUCAAAAGCAAAUUAUUUCAUCACUAUCAAUUCCCUACAUUUUUACUUACAAUGGGUUAUGUGUUAAACUAUACAAUUCCAUAUCUAAAAUCACACCACUCUUUGGAAAGAGAUUCAUUAAUAAAAAUUCAUUAAAUUCAAAAAGGACAAUUUUACAGAUUCAAAAGGCAUAAAGAAACAGCACUUACCUCUCUUUGUACAUACGUUAGGAGAUUCUUCAUCAGUGUGGUCUGGUCUCAGACCUGAUACCUGUUUUGUAGAAUGUGUGAAAUCAAAUGAAGUUGAUUUUAACAGCCUUUAAUUUUUUUUACCACUGGCAACUAGAAAUAAGGUUGGGAUAUACUUUCUUAUGCAUCAUGCUAUGUUCUACAAUAUAGUCACCUUUCUAUAGUAACCAGCCAUCACGAUUUAGCUGUUGAUUCCUCAUUAAGAUCACAGUAGCAUCCCUGAAGAACAGGGUGCAAGGCAGGACUAUGGACAGGACAGAGUGAGUGCCUACGCACACACAGGGGGAGUUUAGAAACAUCCAUCGGCCCAAACCCGAAUGCCUUUGGGAGACAGUGGAGGUAGGGGAGCAUGCAAACAAAACAAUGCACCCCAGGCAUGUACAAACCCAGAAUCUAGAACUGUCAGACAGGAGCGCUGACAUCUAAGCCCCCACCCGUGGGAUCUGUCACUCAGCAAAACCCGUAGAUGUGUGUAUUUUACCUGUAUAUGUAACUGUAAAGCUAUAUAUAACUGUAUAUGUACCUGCAUUGACAGUAUAUCUACUGUAUAUAGAACUGUAACUUUUAUUUUGUAAUUUAAGCUAAAUACAUAUAACUGUAUAUGUACAUGUAGAAAUAACCAUAUUUGUCUGUAGAGAACCAGAGGCUGAUGACAAAGAACUGGGUAGAGAUAUACCUUGUUACAGGCUGGUUCAACAUAGUGCUCUCAGUUAUUCGUCUUUCUGAAGUGCAGGGAGAAAAUCUGACAUUUUUUAUUAGAAGGAAUUUCAAGCUUCAUAUUUGGAGAUGUCAUGGCAGUUGAGGACUAAUCUCCCUACGGCUUGAAAUAUGUUAAUUACAUUGUAUUACCCAUGAAGAGCUGCUGGACGUUGAAUAAUUUACUGGAAUUUAUUAUUCAAUCAAACUGAACCAGAAUAAGAAGAUAAUGUGCUGUUUUUUAAAAGACACUUCUAAAACCAUUUGUGUUUCACUGUAGACAGGAACUGGUUAGGGGCUACAAUGUUUUCUUAAUAGGGAUAAAAUAAACAU